AAUAGAUACCCGGGUAGUCCACGCCGUAAACGAUGAGUGCUAGGUGUUGGGGGGACCACCCUCAGUGCCGCAGGUAACCCAAUAAGCACUCCGCCUGGGGAGUACGGUCGCAAGACUGAAACUCAAAGGAAUUGACGGGGGCCCGCACAAGCGGUGGAGCAUGUGGUUUAAUUCGAAGCAACGCGAAGAACCUUACCAGGGCUUGACAUCCCGCUGACCGGUGUAGAGAUAUGCCUUUCCCCUUUGGGGACAGCGGUGACAGGUGGUGCAUGGUUGUCGUCAGCUCGUGUCGUGAGAUGUUGGGUUCAGUCCCGCAACGAGCGCAACCCCUAUUUCUAGUUGCCAGCAUUUCGGAUGGGCACUCUAGAGAGACAGCCGGUGAAAGCCGGAGGAAGGUGGGGAUGACGUCAAAUCAUCGAUGCCCCUUAUGUCCUGGGCCACACACGUGCUACAAUGGCUGGCACAAAGGGUAGCCAACCCGGCAAGGGGGAGCCAAUCCCAGAAAGCCAGUCUCAGUUCGGAUUGCAGGCUGA
Molecule: ribosomal RNA, 533 nt
Filed under: uncultured bacterium
Lineage: Bacteria
Description: bacterial SSU rRNA
Rfam family: Bacterial small subunit ribosomal RNA
Source: RNAcentral